GCCGGGUGUGGUGGCAGGCACCUGUAAUCCCAGCUACUUGGGAGGCUGAGGCAGGAGAAUCGCCUGAACCCGGGAGGAAGAGGUUGCAGUGAGCCAAGAUCGCGCCACUGCACUCCAGCCUGGGUGACAGAGCGAGACUAUCUCGGCGGGGGAAGAAAGCUUUGUUAUGUAGUGUUCUAUUUUUCAUUUGUACUAUUUAUUUUCUUUCUUUUUUUUUUUUUUUUUUUGAGACGGAGUCUUGCUCUGUUGCCCAGGCUGGAGUACAGUGGCGCAAUCUCGGCUCACUGCAAGCUCCGCCUCCCGGGUUCAUGCCAUUCUCCUGCCUCAG
Molecule: small RNA, 328 nt
Filed under: Pongo abelii (Sumatran orangutan)
Lineage: Eukaryota; Metazoa; Chordata; Mammalia; Primates; Hominidae
Description: Metazoan signal recognition particle RNA (ENSPPYG00000037882.1)
Source: RNAcentral